CCUACGGGUGGCUGCAGUGGGGAAUUUUGCACAAUGGGCGAAAGCCUGAUGCAGCGACGCCGCGUGGGGGACGAAGGCCUUCGGGUUGUAAACUCCUUUUGUAGGGGAAGAUAAUGACGGUACCCUAUGAAUAAGCCACGGCUAACUCUGUGCCAGCAGCCGCGGUAAGACAGAGGUGGCAAGCGUUGUUCGGAAUUACUGGGCUUAAAGGGCGCGUAGGCGGUGGUGUAAGUCUGAGGUGGAAUCCCGGGGCUUAACUUCGGGACUGCCUUGGAAACUGCAUUGCUUGAGUCGAGCAGGGGAAGGCGGAAUUCCUGGUGUAGCGGUGAAAUGCGUAGAUAUCAGGAGGAAGGCCUGUGGUGAAGACGGCCUUCUGGGCUUUGACUGACGCUGAGGCGCGAAAGCGUGGGGAGCAAACAGGAUUAGAUACCCGUGUAGUC
This 440-nucleotide ribosomal RNA is filed under the name uncultured bacterium. Its description in RNAcentral is "partial 16S ribosomal RNA". It matches the Rfam family "Bacterial small subunit ribosomal RNA", at positions 338 to 795 of the family's 1533-position model. The record is from RNAcentral.